CACGUAGGGUGCGAGCGUUGUCCGGAAUUAUUGGGCGUAAAGAGCUCGUAGGCGGUGUGUCGCGUCGGCCGUGAAAACCUGCAGCUUAACUGUGGGCUUGCGGUCGAUACGGGCAUCACUGGAGUUCGGCAGGGGAGACUGGAAUUCCUGGUGUAGCGGUGAAAUGCGCAGAUAUCGGGAGGAACACCCGUAGCGAAGGCGGCACUCUGGGCCGUGACUGACGCUGAGGAGCGAAAGCGUGGGGAGCAAACAGG
Molecule: ribosomal RNA, 254 nt
Filed under: uncultured bacterium
Lineage: Bacteria
Description: partial 16S ribosomal RNA
Rfam family: Bacterial small subunit ribosomal RNA
Source: RNAcentral